Long non-coding RNA from Piliocolobus tephrosceles (Ugandan red Colobus), 292 nucleotides. RefSeq lists it as uncharacterized. The transcript is spliced from 3 exons. The record is from RefSeq and is a predicted model, not a curated record. NCBI's taxonomy places the organism in Eukaryota, Metazoa, Chordata, Mammalia, Primates, Cercopithecidae.
CGUGAGAUCCCGGAAGCCUAGGGAACGCAGUGACUGAACCGGACCUGGGUCGCCUCAGUCAGCCCGAGGGCUAUUGGAGAUACAUGGAUUUGAAAACUUUGGGGAUUGGAUAUAUGAGGAGAACUUGUUAAAGAUAAGAAAGCAGACACAGCCAAGAAGAGGCAACCAGGAUCAGAACCCAGUCUUUCCAGCCUCAAUCCACCAGCCUCCAAAGCCCGUUCUCUUCCAGAGGAAACAAGUUCCUCUAUGGAAGUUGGAUGAAAAAUUGUCAUUUGGCUAGCAAUAAGUGAAA